GAUGAAGAACGCAGUGAAAUGCGAUAAGUAAUGUGAAUUGCAGAUUUUCAGUGAAUCAUCGAAUCUUUGAACGCACCUUGCGCUCCCUGGUAUUCCGGGGAGCAUGCCUGUUCGAGCGUCAUUACAACCCUCAAGCUCUGCUUGGUGUUGGGCCCCGCCGCCCCGGCGGGCCCUAAAGUCAGUGGCGGUGCCGUCCGGCUCCGAGCGUAGUAAUUUUUCUCGCUUUGGAGGCCCGGGCGCGUGCUCGCCAUCAACCCCCAAUUUUUUUCAGGUUGACCUCGGAUCAGGUAGGGAUACCCGCUGAACUUAAGCAUAUCAAUAAGCGGAGGA
Molecule: unclassified non-coding RNA, 330 nt
Filed under: soil metagenome
Description: partial contains 5.8S ribosomal RNA, internal transcribed spacer 2, and large subunit ribosomal RNA
Rfam family: 5.8S ribosomal RNA (bases 1-121)
Source: RNAcentral